CCCAGACUCCUACGGGAGGCAGCAGUGGGGGAUAUUGCACAAUGGGGGAAACCCUGAUGCAGCGACGCCGCGUGGGUGAAGAAGCGCCUCGGCGCGUAAAGCCCUGUCAGCAGGGAAGAAAAUGACAGUACCUGAAGAAGAAGCCCCGGCUAACUACGUGCCAGCAGCCGCGGUAAUACGUAGGGGGCAAGCGUUAUCCGGAUUUACUGGGUGUAAAGGGGGCGCAGACGGCGAUGCAAGCCAGGAGUGAAAGCCCGGGGCCCAACCCCGGGACUGCUCUUGGAACUGCGUGGCUGGAGUGCAGGAGGGGCAGGCGGAAUUCCUGGUGUAGCGGUGAAAUGCGUAGAUAUCAGGAGGAACACCGGUGGCGAAGGCGGCCUGCUGGACUGCAACUGACGUUGAGGCCCGAAAGCGUGGGGAGCAAACAGGAUUAGAUACCCCUGUA
RNAcentral lists this ribosomal RNA (445 nucleotides) under uncultured bacterium. RNAcentral's name for it is "bacterial SSU rRNA". It matches the Rfam family "Bacterial small subunit ribosomal RNA", at positions 330 to 792 of the family's 1533-position model. The record is from RNAcentral.